GGGGGCAGCACGGAAUUGCAAGAGAGAAAACCCAGCACAUUGGAAAACCAGGCCAGAAGGCGUGAGCGUGAGACCGUGGGUCGCCUUCCCUUAGCGCGGGGUCUCGGGCACUCUCCCGUAGGAAGCGAGCUGCUAGGAAGCGACCUGCGAGGGCGUUGCUUCUGCAAGCACGGCUGCAGCGUCCUGGGCUUUUCCCCGCAAGCGCCGCAGAAAGGAGCGCUCACGGCCGUCUCUGCGCUGCUCACGCUGCACGCCGAUUCCCUGGGGGACACGUAGCUGCUGCGUGAGUUUCUGCGGCGACAGCCCUGAUGAGAGGUGUUUGCAAGCCUUCCUCUGCACCUGCGUUUUCACAGAAUGUUUUCAGGGGCUUUUUGCUGAACCUGGUGUUGCCAGCCAGCCUGAGGCUGAAGUGACAAGCGGGAGUCUCCAGGUCCUGAAUGUCGACUUCUCCAGGAAGAUUAAAGUGAGGCAACUUCAACUUGGAGGAGUUUGUCAGAAGCUCACUACCUGGGGCUGGGCUGGGGCUCAGUGGCAGAGCGCUUGCCUGGCACGCGUGAGGCACUGGGUUCCAUCCUCAGCACCACAUAAAAUAAAUAAACGAAAUAAAGAAAUUGUGUCCAUGUAGAACUAAGAAACAUUUUUUAAAAAAAGAAUUUCACUACGUCAUUGAUGCCAUCAAUGAUGUGAGUGGCUUUUUUUUUUCUUCUGAAUUGGGUGAUACUUUUGACCACUGGAAAAAUAUUUCCUCAGUUUUUUCCCCCUCUAUUCGCAAUGAUUGAUUCCAAGUCUGACACACUUUUAAGUUAAAGCUCUACUAUUAACAUUUUCUCCUGGUCUUUGUGAAGUCUAGACACCACCAACAAAACAAAAAUGAAACAGAAACCAAGCCUCAGUUGCCAUGUCCCUGGCUGGUGCCAGCUGCCACGGCCAUUAAAUUAUAAAUCUAUAUAAUUCCUUUUUCAAUACUAGCCAAUACCAGCUGUGUUUACAGCCGGCUAUCAGGUUCCUGUGAAUGUGGCUCUUGCAGGUUGGGACACCACUGAUUACAACCCUUAUCUGAGACCAGGCAAGCUGCAUGUGCCAUAUGCAGAAUCAUGUCUGCUACCCCAAGAUGUGCGUGCUCCACUCUGCUGUGCUUCACUAAAACAGAGAUUGCUUAUCUCUCUUAGGCUGUGCCCUCUUCUCCUCCUCCUCUCCUUUCCUUCCUGCUAACUCUGCUCCCUACAUACUCCUUGAACACACCACACAUGUCACCUCUUCUUUGAACAUGCGAUUUCCCUACAUGGCUGAUGCCUCACCUUCUUUAGGUCUUUGCUCCAAUGGCACCUUCUUGUGAGGCCUUCCCAACCACCCUACUCAUAGCUGCUACCUUCUUCUCUAUUCCCCCACUGACCAUCCCUCUUCCCUGUUUUAUUUUUCUCCAUAGUGUUGAUUAUCCUCAGUGUAUAAACUACACUGUGUAGAAUACUUUUGAUUAUUUUUUUUUUAUUACCUGUCUCCCUUCUGAGACUGUAUGCAACACAAAGCUUACAUUUUGGGAUUUGUUUUGCUGGACCUUCGAGGUAUAGAAAGUGCCUGGCACAUCACAGGUAGUCAGGACACAGUGUUGAAUAAACUGAAAGAUUCAAUAGCAGAA
Molecule: long non-coding RNA, 1636 nt
Organism: Ictidomys tridecemlineatus (thirteen-lined ground squirrel)
Lineage: Eukaryota; Metazoa; Chordata; Mammalia; Rodentia; Sciuridae
Source: RefSeq, a predicted model, not a curated record